RNAcentral lists this ribosomal RNA (495 nucleotides) under uncultured bacterium. RNAcentral's name for it is "partial 16S ribosomal RNA". It matches the Rfam family "Bacterial small subunit ribosomal RNA", at positions 28 to 507 of the family's 1533-position model. The record is from RNAcentral.
GACGAACGCUGGCGGCGUGCCUAAUACAUGCAAGUAGAACGCUGAAGGAGGAGCUUGCUUCUCUGGAUGAGUUGCGAACGGGUGAGUAACGCGUAGGUAACCUGCCUGGUAGCGGGGGAUAACUAUUGGAAACGAUAGCUAAUACCGCAUAAGAGUAGAUGUUGCAUGACAUUUGCUUAAAAGGUGCAAUUGCAUCACUACCAGAUGGACCUGCGUUGUAUUAGCUAGUUGGUGAGGUAACGGCUCACCAAGGCGACGAUACAUAGCCGACCUGAGAGGGUGAUCGGCCACACUGGGACUGAGACACGGCCCAGACUCCUACGGGAGGCAGCAGUAGGGAAUCUUCGGCAAUGGACGGAAGUCUGACCGAGCUACGCCGCGUGAGGGAAGAAGGUUUUCGGAUCGUAAAGCUCUGUUGUAAGAGAAGAACGAGUGUGAGAGUGGAAAGUUCACACUGUGACGGUAUCUUACCAGAAAGGGACGGCUAACUACGUG